UUCCGGUUGAUCCUGCCGGACCUGACUGCUAUCGGAUUGAUACUAAGCCAUGCGAGUCAUUGUAGCAAUACAAGGCAGACGGCUCAGUAACGCGUAGUCAACCUAACCUAUGGACGGGAAUAACCUCGGGAAACUGAGAAUAAUGCCCGAUAGAACACUAUACCUGGAAUGGUUUGUGUUCCAAAUGAUUUAUCGCCGUAGGAUGGGACUGCGGCCUAUCAGUUUGUUGGUGAGGUAAUGGCCCACCAAGACUAUUACAGGUACGGGCUCUGAGAGGAGUAGCCCGGAGAUGGGUACUGAGACACGGACCCAGGCCCUAUGGGGCGCAGCAGGCGAGAAAACUUUGCAAUGUGCGAAAGCACGACAAGGUUAAUCCGAGUGGUUUGUGCUAAACGAACCUUUUGUCGGUCCUAGAAACACCGAUGAAUAAGGGGUGGGCAAGUUCUGGUGUCAGCCGCCGCGGUAAAACCAGCACCUCAAGUGGUCAGGAUGAUUAUUGGGCCUAAAGCAUCCGUAGCCGGCUCUGUAAGUUUUCGGUUAAAUCUGUACGCUCAACGUACAGGCUGCCGGGAAUACUGCAGAGCUAGGGAGUGGGAGAGGUAGACGGUACUCGGUAGGAAGGGGUAGAAUCCUUUGAUCUAUUGAUGACUACCUGUGGCGAAGGCGGUCUACCAGAACACGUCCGACGGUGAGGGAUGAAAGCUGGGGGAGCAAACCGGAUUAGAUACCCGGGUAGUCCCAGCUGUAAACUAUGCAAACUCAGUGAUGCAUUGGCUUGUGGCCAAUGCAGUGCUGCAGGGAAGCCGUUAAGUUUGCCGCCUGGGAAGUACGUACGCAAGUAUGAAACUUAAAGGAAUUGGCGGGGGAGCACCACA
RNAcentral lists this ribosomal RNA (875 nucleotides) under uncultured archaeon. Its description in RNAcentral is "bacterial SSU rRNA". It matches the Rfam family "Archaeal small subunit ribosomal RNA", at positions 1 to 883 of the family's 1478-position model. The record is from RNAcentral.